This 264-nucleotide ribosomal RNA is filed under the name uncultured bacterium. Its description in RNAcentral is "partial 16S ribosomal RNA". It matches the Rfam family "Bacterial small subunit ribosomal RNA", at positions 793 to 1055 of the family's 1533-position model. The record is from RNAcentral.
GUCCUAGCCGUAAACGAUGCAUACUAGAAGUAGGAGGGCUCAACCCUUUCUGUUUCGGAGCUAACGCGUUAAGUAUGCCACCUGGGGAGUACGCUCGCAAGGGUGAAACUCAAAAGAAUUGACGGGGGCCCCGCACAAGCAGUGGAGCAUGUGGUUUAAUUCGAUGCAACGCGAAGAACCUUACCUGGGCUCGAAAUGUAGAGGACUAGUCAAGAGAUUGACUAUCCCGAAAGGGUCUCUAUAUAGGUGCUGCAUGGCUGUCGU